RNAcentral lists this ribosomal RNA (1209 nucleotides) under metagenome. Its description in RNAcentral is "bacterial SSU rRNA". It matches the Rfam family "Bacterial small subunit ribosomal RNA", at positions 323 to 1520 of the family's 1533-position model. The record is from RNAcentral.
GACACGGUCCAGACACCUACGGGUGGCAGCAGUCGAGAAUUUUUCUCAAUGGGGGAAACCCUGAAGGAGCGACGCCGCGUGGAGGAUGAAGGUCUUCGGAUUGUAAACUCCUGUCAUUUGAGAACAAGUUGCAUCGGUUAACUGCCGAUGCAUUGAUAGUAUCAGAAGAGGAAGAGACGGCUAACUCUGUGCCAGCAGCCGCGGUAAUACAGAGGUCUCAAGCGUUGUUCGGAUUCAUUGGGCGUAAAGGGUGCGUAGGUGGCGUCGUAAGUCAGGUGUGAAAUCUCGGGGCUCAACCCCGAAACUGCACUUGAUACUGCGAUGCUUGAGUACUGGAGAGGAGAUUGGAAUUUACGGUGUAGCAGCAAAAUGCGUAGAUAUCGUAAGGAAGACCAGUGGCGAAGGCGAAUCUCUGGACAGUUACUGACACUGAGGCACGAAGGCCAGGGGAGCAAACGGGAUUAGAUACCCCGGUAGUCCUGGCAGUAAACGGUGCGCGUUUGGUGUGGGAGGAUUCGACCCCUUCUGUGCCGGAGCUAACGCGUUAAACGCGCCGCCUGGGGAGUACGGUCGCAAGAUUAAAACUCAAAGAAAUUGACGGGGGCCCGCACAAGCGGUGGAGUAUGUGGCUUAAUUCGAUCCACGCGAAGAACCUUACCUAGCCUUGACAUGCAUCUCUAAGUCGGUGAAAGCCGGCGACUGUAGCAAUACAGAAUUUGCACAGGUGCUGCAUGGCUGUCGUCAGCUCGUGUCGUGAGAUGUUGGGUUAAGUCCCGCAACGAGCGCAACCCCUGUGAACUGUUGCCACCGGCCUUCGGGUCGAGCACUCUGUUCAGACUGCCCUGUGAAACGGGGAGGAAGGUGGGGAUGACGUCAAGUCAGCAUGGCCCUUACGGCUAGGGCUGCACACGUACUACAAUGCUCAGUACAGAACGAACCGAAACCGCGAGGUGGAGGAAAUCCCAAAAACUGAGCCCAAUUCGGAUUGGAGGCUGCAACUCGCCUCCAUGAAGCCGGAAUCGCUAGUAAUGGCGCAUCAGCUACAGCGCCGUGAAUACGUUCCCGGGCCUUGUACACACCGCCCGUCACAUCAUGGAAGUCACUUGUACCCGAAGUGCAUGCGCCAACCGCAAGGAGGCAGUGCCCUAAGGUAUGGGUGGUAACUGGGAUGAAGUCGAAACAAGGUAGCCGUAGGGGAGCCUGCGGCUG